This 502-nucleotide ribosomal RNA is filed under the name uncultured bacterium. RNAcentral describes it as "partial 16S ribosomal RNA". It matches the Rfam family "Bacterial small subunit ribosomal RNA", at positions 28 to 507 of the family's 1533-position model. The record is from RNAcentral.
GACGAACGCUGGCGGCGUGCCUAAUACAUGCCAGUCGAACGAACCGCGACUAGGUGCUUGCACUUGGUCAAGGUGAGUGGCGAACGGGUGAGUAACACGUGGGUAACCUACCUCAUAGUGGGGGAUAACAGUCGGAAACGACUGCUAAUACCGCAUAGGACAUAGGAUCACAUGAUCCAGUGAGGAAAGGUGGCGCAAGCUAUCGCUAAGAGAUGGACCCGCGGUGCAUUAGCUAGUUGGUAGGGUAAAGGCCUACCAAGGCGAUGAUGCAUAGCCGACCUGAGAGGGUGAUCGGCCACAUUGGGACUGAGACACGGCCCAAACUCCUACGGGAGGCAGCAGUAGGGAAUCUUCCGCAAUGGACGCAAGUCUGACGGAGCAACGCCGCGUGAGUGAAGAAGGUCUUCGGAUCGUAAAGCUCUGCUGUUAGAGAAGAACAGCGCAUAGAGUAACUGUUAUGCGUGUGACGGUAUCUAACCAGAAAGCCACGGCUAACUACGUG